AGCUUUGCACAGUGGCCAUAUCGUAGCCAAUGAGGUUUAUCCGAGGUACGAUUAUUGCUAAAAAAAAAAAAAUUGUUUAAUGUAUUUUGUCUGUUCUGUUUUUAUUUGUUUUAAUUGUUACAGGUAGAAAGGUAAAUCUAGACUCUGUAACUCCCAUCUGUGA
This 163-nucleotide small nuclear RNA is filed under the name Suricata suricatta (meerkat). RNAcentral describes it as "U4 spliceosomal RNA (ENSSSUG00005003685.1)". The stretch from base 1 to 81 matches the Rfam family "U4 spliceosomal RNA". Lineage: Eukaryota; Metazoa; Chordata; Mammalia; Carnivora; Herpestidae. The record is from Rfam by way of RNAcentral.